GCAUCUCGAGGACGACCAUGAAUCUACCUGCCAACAGGUGGUACUGGUUUGCACUGGUUUGCAUGAACUGAACAUGGUGGACAUGAGGCAAAUUCCCUGCUGUUUGCCCCAGACCAGGACUCUGUGAGGGGUGGUGAUGGAGCCGUGCUGAGGACCUGCUGGUGAAGGACGUCCCUCGUGGGGGGGCAAGGACAGCCGACCCUGAGGAUCCGCUCGGAUCUACGAUCGCUACGAUGCGACUGCAGAGGUCUCUGGAAGACCAGGAGUCCUUGCCUGAGGAGAGCUGAUGGAGGAGCCGUGCACCUGGAGAACCAUGAGUCUGCCUGCCAACAAGU
Gadus macrocephalus (Pacific cod) is the source of this 335-nucleotide long non-coding RNA. RefSeq lists it as uncharacterized. The transcript is spliced from 3 exons. The record is from RefSeq and is a predicted model, not a curated record. NCBI's taxonomy places the organism in Eukaryota, Metazoa, Chordata, Actinopteri, Gadiformes, Gadidae.